RNAcentral lists this long non-coding RNA (210 nucleotides) under Mytilus galloprovincialis (Mediterranean mussel). Lineage: Eukaryota; Metazoa; Mollusca; Bivalvia; Mytilida; Mytilidae. The record is from RNAcentral.
GGUCACUUCGUUAGAUGUCGAGAUGUUUGCCUGAUCAUUUCAGAUGAAAAGUGUAAUCCAAUGUACAUAGAACAAAGAAGAUAUAGGGCAGGCUGUCAGUUUGGACUUAUUUUUACCUUCUUUAAAAACAAUUCUUAACACAUCAUCAAAAAAUAUUAGGCCGCACCAUUUAAUUUGUUGUUCUACGGAUUUUUCGCCUUAAAAAAUUGG